UAAACUACGAUUAGAUACCCUAUUAUUUUGAAUGUAAAUUUUUACCUAGGUAGUAAUAGUUAUUUCUUUAAACCUAAAGAAUUUGGCGGUGUAUUAUUCUUUUCAGAGGAACUUGCCAUGUAAUCGAUAGUCCUCGUUAUAUCUUGCUUUAUUUUGUUAAUCAGUAUGUAUACCGUCGUUAUAAGUUUAUUUUAUAAGAAUUAAUUUACUAAUAAAUUUAUUUGUUGUUAUUUCAGAUCAAGGUGCAGCUAAUAUUAAAGUAUAGGUGAGUUACAUUAUUAUUUUAAUAUAUGGAUUUAUUUUUAUAAUUUUAAUGAAGGUGGAUUUGAUAGUAAUUUAUAUAAUAGAGUUUUUUUGAAAAUAGCUCUGAUAUGAGUACACAUCG
RNAcentral lists this ribosomal RNA (385 nucleotides) under Hyrtacus tuberculatus. RNAcentral's name for it is "partial 12S ribosomal RNA". The record is from RNAcentral. Lineage: Eukaryota; Metazoa; Arthropoda; Insecta; Phasmatodea; Lonchodidae.